RNAcentral lists this ribosomal RNA (440 nucleotides) under uncultured bacterium. Its description in RNAcentral is "partial 16S ribosomal RNA". It matches the Rfam family "Bacterial small subunit ribosomal RNA", at positions 338 to 795 of the family's 1533-position model. The record is from RNAcentral.
CCUACGGGUGGCAGCAGUGGGGAAUAUUGGACAAUGGGGGGAACCCUGAUCCAGCGACGCCGCGUGAGUGAAGAAGUAUUUCGGUAUGUAACGCUCUAUCAGCAGGGAAGCAAAUGACGGUACCUGACUAAGAAGCCCCGGCUAACUACGUGCCAGCGGCCGCGGUAAUACGGAGGGGGCAAGCGUUAUCAGGAUUUACUGGGUGUAAAGGGAGCGUAGACGGUGCAGCAAGACGGAUGUGAAAGGUCCGGGCCCAACCCCGGGACUGCAUUGGAAACUGUUGGGCUGGAGUACAGGGAGGGUAAGCGGAAUUCCUGGUGUAGCGGUGAAAUGCGUAGAUAUUAGGAGGAACACCGGUGGCGAAGGCGGCUUACUGGACUGUAACUGACGUUGAGGCUCGAAAGCGUGGGGAGCAAACAGGAUUAGAUACCCUUGUAGUC